AGACAGCAGCAGCCGCGGGAAUACGUAGGGUGCGAGCGUUAAUCGGAAUUACUGGGCGUAAAGCGUGCGCAGGCGGUUGUGUAAGACAGGUGUGAAAUCCCCGGGCUUAACCUGGGAACUGCGCUCGUGACUGCACAGCUAGAGUAUGGCAGAGGGGGGUGGAAUUCCACGUGUAGCAGUGAAAUGCGUAGAGAUGUGGAGGAACACCGAUGGCGAAGGCAGCCCCCUGGGCCAAUACUGACGCUCAUGCACGAAAGCGUGGGGAGCAAACAGGAUUAGAUACCCCGGUAGUCCCUGUCUCUUAUAC
Molecule: ribosomal RNA, 307 nt
Filed under: uncultured bacterium
Lineage: Bacteria
Description: partial 16S ribosomal RNA
Rfam family: Bacterial small subunit ribosomal RNA
Source: RNAcentral